Helicoverpa armigera (cotton bollworm) is the source of this 801-nucleotide long non-coding RNA. RefSeq lists it as uncharacterized. NCBI's taxonomy places the organism in Eukaryota, Metazoa, Arthropoda, Insecta, Lepidoptera, Noctuidae. The record is from RefSeq and is a predicted model, not a curated record. The transcript is spliced from 2 exons.
UAAAUCUUGUGACGCGCGGUGUUCAACUUUAGUCAGCGCCAGGCGCUUACCGAGGAGGGACGUAUCGCUCGCUGUUGCGCCGCGUAAACUCGCCGGAGUUCGAAAAAUAUAGCGCAACCUAGGCAUCUAACACGUUUUGAUACUAGUGAGUUUUAUUUUAUUUAUUAGUUAUAAUGAUCUGAUUGAAAUGUAAUAUACAUAAGUAUUAGGCCAUGAUAUUCUAAUUCGAAAAUGUUAUAGAUUGGGUUCUCUUUUUUUGAUGUUGGUUAUAAAGAAAUAUGUACGUAAAUGUCAUCGUCGUUAGUUUCGCUGUUGCAUAAUAAUGUAAUUGGACUUCUUUGAUUCUUGCAGGAUAAUGAAAGCAUAUUUAAUUCAGACUAUCAGACUCAAUUGAAUACCAGUACAAAUAAUAUGGAAAAUGAAGAUACAAUACAUGGAAGACGAAUUAUAGAUUUUAGUUUUUUUAUAAAUCAAUUACUUAUAAUUGAUAAACAUGGUGAAAAGUUUGGUUGUCGAUUAAAUAAUUUAAAAAUUGUAAACGAUUACUUGUUUAUUGUAACUCAAUCGAGCUAUUCUAGGUUAUAAAAUUCAUCGGUACAAAUAAUAUUUCAUAAACUAUAAAAACAAUAAAUUAUUUCGGAAAAAAGUGGCAAAGUCUCAAGUUUGUUUGUGCCGCGUGGCGGUCCGCAGGUGUGCGUUGCGUAUUUCACUAGACGCACACAUGCGCAAGUGCUGCCGGCUAUCGUCUAAUUUACCUACAACUGAGCAAUUCGAUUUUGUAAUAGCGCUCUUAAAAUGUAA